CAGCCGCCACGGGAAUACGAAGGGGGCUAGCGUUGUUCGAAAUCACUGGGCGUAAAGCGCACGUAGGCGGACACUUAAGUCAGAGGUGAAAUCCCAAGGCUCAACCUUGGAACUGCCUUUGAUACUGGGUGUCUUGAGUUCGGGAGAGGUGAGUGGAACUGCGAGUGUAGAGGUGAAAUUCGUAGAUAUUCGCAAGAACACCAGUGGCGAAGGCGGCUCACUGGCCCGAUACUGACGCUGAGGUGCGAAAGCGUGGGGAGCAAACAGGAUUAGAUACCCCGGUAGUCCCUGUCUCUUAUAC
This 301-nucleotide ribosomal RNA is filed under the name uncultured bacterium. RNAcentral's name for it is "partial 16S ribosomal RNA". It matches the Rfam family "Bacterial small subunit ribosomal RNA", at positions 509 to 807 of the family's 1533-position model. The record is from RNAcentral.